GUUUAAAAGUGCUCAAAAGUAAAAAUGCAUUAUAACAAUUGUCAGUCAUUAUGUAUUGAUAUAUUAGCAGCAUUAAAAAACGACGGGCUACUAAACGAAUAACUCCAUAAGCAAUUGUUGGAAUACGUCACUUGGUGACGGAAAUAAUAGCCAAAUUGCCGACAGUAGCCAUAAAAUACUCUCUUCUCCUCUAGUAAAUAGAGAAGAAGCUGCAAAAGCAUAUAAAGAUAUGGAUUAUAAUUAAUAACUGUAAUAUAUUUAUAAAAAUGUAUUCUUUUAUCUUUUAUAGACUUAAAUUAUACUACAUUGCUGUUUUAACAAGCAAAAAAUCCAAAGAACAAUCAUUUCGCAACUUAUAAAUAAUGAAGCGAGUACUAGCACUGGAGACCUAACUUCAACAAAGGACAUUGAUUCAGAAUGUACAAAAGAUAAAUAUAUAUGGAAAAAAGACGAAACAAUAUCAUUAUUAUAAACGUAUUUCGAACUUGAAAAUGAAUUUCGUAAUGGAAAGAAGACUGCAAAACAAAAAUAGGAAAAAAUUGCAAAAAUAAUACAAGGAAAGGGCUAUAAUGUGACAGAAUUGAAAUGUUCAAUAAAAUUUCAAGCCCUUAAACGACAGUAUAAAUGUGUUUUGGACCACAAUAACAAAAGUGGAAAUAACAGAAAAGAAUGGGAAUAUUUUAAGGUUGCAAGCUUUACUAUCAAUUAGAGCAAACAGGUAUUUAUCGGUGAUUUGGAUUUCAAGGUAUCAAUGCUGAAGUUUUAUUGAGAGGAGUUUACGUUUGCCAUACGGACAAGCAUGUCAGAAUCAAAACGGUCAAUAAUCCGCGUGUCAAUCGUGACGGUAAAAGAAGCUGACAGCAGAUCCGUUGAAGACUUUAACGUCGGGCCGGGAUUAAAGGAACCGCGCCGGUAACAACACGGAUCGACGACGACAAUAGAGGUGGGAGCCAAUGACCAAUAAAUUGAACUAUGGUUCAUUUCACUAAUUCCCGUAAUAAUCUAAUAGAUUAACGAUUAUCUGUUUAGUACGGCUCGUUUACGUCCGCUCUUUACUCCUGGAGAACGGUUCAUUCAAAAAUUAUGAAUGAAUCUUUCUCUUGGAACUUUUAUCCCAAGCGGAAAAAAGAACACCUUGUGUGAAAAGAUAAGUUCUACAGUAAUUUUUUAUUUGUGCACACAAAAACGAGCGUUAAAAAUCGUGAUUAAUUUAUUGUAAGAAAGAUAGAUAGAUGCAUAAAGAGAGAGUGAGAUAGAGAAACAUGAUAAAAUGUAUUUUUUUGUUAAUACAGAGGACAAUCACUAAUACUAGCACAUAAGUUUGUUGUCGGUAAUAUUUCUUGUCUUAAAUAAAAGCUAAAUAUUAAACUUUAAGAACAUAAAAAGAACUGGUACAUGUUUUCUAUUAGAUAGCAUAAUAUUUUCUUUUUUAUAAUAUUCUCUCAUACUUUGUAACAUUUAAUAUUUUUGCAAAUUAACUCAAACAAGCAUCUAAAAAAUUCGGCUCGAAAAGUUGUUUUGGUAGGCAGUAGGCAGUAGGCAGUAGGCAGUAAUGGCAAAAUUCAAACACAGUUUCAUAGGAUAUAAGUUACCUAGAAAUAUAUUGACAAAUAUAUUGAUAAAUUAAAUAAUAAAAUAUAUUUUUAUGUAUUAAACAACUUUGUAUUAAACAAAAUUUAUGAAAUUGAAAGACUAAAAUUAAAUCUCUAUAUGUUGUUUUAAUACUUUAUGAGAGGAUAAAGAUAGAAUUAUGCGCGCGCACGGACAUUAUUCUUCCUAUCUUAAGAAAUUAACAAAUAUUUAAAAAAAUUC
Long non-coding RNA from Solenopsis invicta (red fire ant), 1812 nucleotides. RefSeq lists it as uncharacterized. The record is from RefSeq and is a predicted model, not a curated record. The transcript has 4 exons. NCBI's taxonomy places the organism in Eukaryota, Metazoa, Arthropoda, Insecta, Hymenoptera, Formicidae.